Molecule: long non-coding RNA, 575 nt
Organism: Coturnix japonica (Japanese quail)
Lineage: Eukaryota; Metazoa; Chordata; Aves; Galliformes; Phasianidae
Source: RefSeq, a predicted model, not a curated record
AUCACUACAGUGGCCCAAUGGACAGACUGAACCUUCAGAACACCUUCUAGCCUUUCUAACUCAUUUCUGAGCUGUAAUUACCCAUCUGCUAUUUUAAGCACUAUGGUGUUUGAUUUUGAAAAGGGAAAUGAAAAAAGAGUUAGCAGGGCCUUAGAGUUGCAUGUACCAGUACUAUGAAACACAGUGACAUUGAGCUUUGGAAAGAGAAGCUAACAAAGUCAGAAGGCAGAGUAAAAAAAAAGGAAUGAUGAGGUUUAUGUGAUAAAAGACAGAAACAGUAGGUGGGAAGCCUUGGAGCAGUUGAGGUAUUAAAGGCAGAUCCUCUCCGACAACUACAGGGCACUCUGCUUUCCAGGCCUGUUUCUUCCUGCCCUCAAGCCCGAGUCUCUGGAGAGAGAAGAUGCCAGUAGAAAAUGUCUCUUGGAUUUCUGUGACAGCCACUUGACAGAUCCUUUCACUGUGAACUUUGGCAUGCUCAGCUCGGACUGAAGACAGUGCUAGGGUGAAGAUUCUGGGUAGCUUAUUGGAACAGGAGGAACAGGAGAGAACUAAAUAAAACAGGUUUUCCUACACUA